This 105-nucleotide non-coding RNA is filed under the name uncultured Stomatobaculum sp. Its description in RNAcentral is "FMN riboswitch (RFN element)". It matches the Rfam family "FMN riboswitch aptamer (RFN element)". From Rfam's summary of the family: The RFN element is a highly conserved domain that is found frequently in the 5'-untranslated regions of prokaryotic mRNAs that encode for flavin mononucleotide (FMN) biosynthesis and transport proteins. This element is a metabolite-dependent riboswitch that directly binds FMN in the absence of proteins. The record is from RNAcentral. Lineage: Bacteria; Bacillati; Bacillota; Clostridia; Lachnospirales; Lachnospiraceae.
AGUCUUCAGGGCAGGGUGAAAUUCCCUACCGGCGGUAUAGCCCGCGAGCCGAAAGGCAGAUCCGGUCAGAUUCCGGAGCCGACAGUACAGUCUGGAUGGAAGAAG